RNAcentral lists this ribosomal RNA (426 nucleotides) under uncultured bacterium. RNAcentral's name for it is "bacterial SSU rRNA". It matches the Rfam family "Bacterial small subunit ribosomal RNA", at positions 356 to 773 of the family's 1533-position model. The record is from RNAcentral.
GGGGAAUUUUCCGCAAUGGGCGAAAGCCUGACGGAGUGACGCCGCGUGGGGGACGAAGGCCUUCGGGUCGUAAACCCCUGUCAGAGGGAAAGAAGGGUGUCGGCGUAAAUAGCGCCGGCACUUGACGGUACCUUCAGAGGAAGCCCCGGCCAACUCUGUGCCAGCAGCCGCGGUAAUACAGAGGUCCCGAGCGUUGUUCGGAUUCACUGGGCGUAAAGGGUGCGUAGGUGGUGAGGUAAGUCGGAUGUGAAAUCUCCGGGCUCAACCCGGAAACUGCAUUGGAAACUACCUUGCUUGAGGGUUUGAGGGGGGACUGGAAUUCUCGGUGUAGCAGUGAAAUGCGUAGAUAUCGAGAGGAACACCAGUGGCGAAGGCGAGUCCCUGGAAAACACCUGACACUGAGGCACGAAAGCUAGGGGAGCAAAC